GACGAACGCUGGCGGCGUGCUUAACACAUGCCAGUCGAACGGAAAGGCCCUGCUUGCAGGGUACUCGAGUGGCGAACGGGUGAGUAACACGUGGGUGAUCUGCCCUGCACUUCGGGAUAAGCUUGGGAAACUGGGUCUAAUACCGGAUAGGAACCAUCUUUAGUGUGGUGGUUGGAAAGUUUUUUCGGUGUAGGAUGAGCUCGCGGCCUAUCAGCUUGUUGGUGGGGUAAUGGCCUACCAAGGCGGCGACGGGUAGCCGGCCUGAGAGGGUGUACGGCCACAUUGGGACUGAGAUACGGCCCAGACUCCUACGGGAGGCAGCAGUGGGGAAUAUUGCACAAUGGGCGCAAGCCUGAUGCAGCGACGCCGCGUGGGGGAUGAAGGCCUUCGGGUUGUAAACUCCUUUCGCUAGGGACGAAGCUUUGUUGUGACGGUACCUAGAGAAGAAGCACCGGCUAACUACGUG
This 466-nucleotide ribosomal RNA is filed under the name uncultured bacterium. Its description in RNAcentral is "partial 16S ribosomal RNA". It matches the Rfam family "Bacterial small subunit ribosomal RNA", at positions 28 to 507 of the family's 1533-position model. The record is from RNAcentral.